Cinara cedri is the source of this 260-nucleotide non-coding RNA. Lineage: Eukaryota; Metazoa; Arthropoda; Insecta; Hemiptera; Aphididae. The record is from the annotation of a GenBank genome assembly.
AUAAAUACCGAACCGUGACUUUUGUGAAAAUCUCAUAUCCGGGUUUUGAGAUAGAAAAAAAAAAAACAACCGCCGCAUACGUAUGCAAACAUAACAAACACCGUCCUUCCGGAAAAAAACCGUACAGUGGUGCGUUGAUCCAUUUUUCGUUACCUUCAGUAUUAUUAUGUAUGUACAGAACGUUACGGGAUAUUUUCAUAACGGACAAACGAGAUAACUAUUAUAAAUUUAUAUUGCUUUUAAGGAAACGAGAUUUCUCG